UACAGAGGUCUCAAGCGUUGUUCGGAUUCAUUGGGCGUAAAGCGCGCGUAGGCGGCCCUGUAAGUCCGUUGUGAAAGUCAAAGGCUCAACCUUUGAAAGCCGAUGGAUACUGCAGGGCUAGAGUCCGGAAGAGGCGAGUGGAAUUCCUGGUGUAGCGGUGGAAUGCGCAGAUAUCAGGAGGAACACCAAUAGCGAAGGCAGCUCGCUGGGACGGUACUGACGCUGAGACGCGAAAGCGUGGGGAGCGAACAGG
Molecule: ribosomal RNA, 253 nt
Filed under: uncultured bacterium
Lineage: Bacteria
Description: partial 16S ribosomal RNA
Rfam family: Bacterial small subunit ribosomal RNA
Source: RNAcentral